RNAcentral lists this ribosomal RNA (324 nucleotides) under Allapsidae sp. RNAcentral's name for it is "SSU rRNA". The stretch from base 103 to 324 matches the Rfam family "Eukaryotic small subunit ribosomal RNA", at positions 733 to 955 of the family's 1831-position model. The record is from RNAcentral. Lineage: Eukaryota; Cercozoa; Glissomonadida; Viridiraptoridae.
GAUUUCUGGUUUGAUGUACCUGUCCCGCUGCGGUAACGCCGUGAGUGACGGAGUAUGUUUGCCAUCCUUCUAGAGAGCGCAGGCGACCCUUUACUGGGCCUGUUUGUGUCAUCUAGAUCUUUUACUUUGAAAAAAUUAGAGUGUUUCAAGCAGGCGUUUUGCCAUGAAUACAUUAGCAUGGAAUAAUGAUUUAGGACUUCGGUUCUAUUUUGUUGGUUUCUAGGACUGAAGUAACGAUUGAUAGGGACAGUUGGGGGUGCUAGUAUUCAGCGGCCAGAGGUGAAAUUCUUGGAUUCGCUGAAGACUAACUUAUGCGAAAGCAUU